CCCCAACUCUAAGGUUUCUCACACCAUUUUUUUUUGUCACACAAAAUUCAUCCCUUCUUAAGUGUGGCAUCCCAUUGAAGAUAAGGAUAAGAAUAAGAUAGUUUUGGUUCAAGUUUAAACGUUGGUUGAUCCUUAUCAUCAAUUUAAAUCAAAUUUAAAUUAAAUUUUGAAUUAAAUUUUAUCUUUCUCUUAGAAAUGUAGAUACUGG
This 208-nucleotide long non-coding RNA is filed under the name Elaeis guineensis (African oil palm). RNAcentral describes it as "long non-coding RNA (EGUI_LNC037076)". Lineage: Eukaryota; Viridiplantae; Streptophyta; Magnoliopsida; Arecales; Arecaceae. The record is from RNAcentral.